CCCAGACUCCUACGGGAGGCAGCAGUGGGGGAUAUUGCACAAUGGGGGGAACCCUGAUGCAGCGACGCCGCGUGGGUGAAGGAGCGUUUCGGCGCGUAAAGCCCUAUCGGCAGGGAAGAAGGAGGACGGUACCUGACUAAGAAGCCCCGGCUAACUACGUGCCAGCAGCCGCGGUAAUACGUAGGGGGCAAGCGUUAUCCGGAUUUACUGGGUGUAAAGGGGGCGCAGACGGCAGCGCAAGCCAGGAGUGAAAGCCCGGGGCCCAACCCCGGGACUGCUCUUGGAACUGCGCGGCUGGAGUGCAGGAGGGGCAGGCGGAAUUCCUGGUGUAGCGGUGAAAUGCGUAGAUAUCAGGAGGAACACCGGUGGCGAAGGCGGCCUGCUGGACUGCGACUGACGUUGAGGCCCGAAAGCGUGGGGAGCAAACAGGAUUAGAUACCCCCGUACCC
RNAcentral lists this ribosomal RNA (449 nucleotides) under uncultured bacterium. RNAcentral's name for it is "bacterial SSU rRNA". It matches the Rfam family "Bacterial small subunit ribosomal RNA", at positions 330 to 795 of the family's 1533-position model. The record is from RNAcentral.